Molecule: ribosomal RNA, 486 nt
Filed under: uncultured bacterium
Lineage: Bacteria
Description: partial 16S ribosomal RNA
Rfam family: Bacterial small subunit ribosomal RNA
Source: RNAcentral
AUUGAACGCUGGCGGCAUGCCUUACACAUGCAAGUCGAACGGCAGCACGGGUGCUUGCCCCUGGUGGCGAGUGGCGAACGGGUGAGUAAUACAUCGGAACAUGUCCUGUAGUGGGGGAUAGCCCGGCGAAAGCCGGAUUAAUACCGCAUACGAUCUACGGAUGACAGCGGGGGACCUUCGGGCCUCGCGCUAUAGGGUUGGCCGAUGGCUGAUUAGCUAGUUGGUGGGGUAAAGGCCUACCAAGGCGACGAUCAGCAGCUGGUCUGAGAGGACGACCAGCCACACUGGGACUGAGACACGGCCCAGACUCCUACGGGAGGCAGCAGUGGGGAAUUUUGGACAAUGGGCGAAAGCCUGAUCCAGCAAUGCCGCGUGUGUGAAGAAGGCCUUCGGGUUGUAAAGCACUUUUGUCCGGAAAGAAAUCCUUGGCCCUAAUACGGUCGGGGGAUGACGGUACCGGAAGAAUAAGCACCGGCUAACUACGUG